This is a long non-coding RNA of Lathyrus oleraceus (garden pea), 1183 nucleotides long. RefSeq lists it as uncharacterized. NCBI's taxonomy places the organism in Eukaryota, Viridiplantae, Streptophyta, Magnoliopsida, Fabales, Fabaceae. The transcript has 2 exons. The record is from RefSeq and is a predicted model, not a curated record.
CAAUGUCCAUGGCAAUGCCUUCAGUACAACACCUCAAGGCCAUUUCACCAAAUCCGAACGAACACGCGAGGGAGAUAAGAUCGAAGUUGGAAGUGGAGGUUGGAGGAAGCUUUUUGUUGAGUGUUGCUAGAGAAAAUUCUGGAAGUUGUUUCGGUGUAGGUUGAGGGUUCAAAAAGAGAGGUGAGGAAGAGGAGUCGCAUGGUGGUUCAAGGGUGGUUUCAAAACCGGUUCGCAAUGAGUUUUUUUAGAGACGAGGUUAUGAAGGAAGCUAGUUGGGAUGCGAUUCUGUUACGACAGUUGGUUGAAGCCGUUAGAGUUCGGUUGAAGGUUAGUUAUGACAGUCGUUAGGAUUCGGUCAUGGCCUCCUGAAAUUAUCCUUCUGUUAUGAGGAGCUUCGGUUCCUUUCCGUUUCUGUUAUGCUACUAGGGGGGGAAAAUGAAUCUGGUUAUCAAGUUUGUUACCUUUCUGUUAUAGGUUCUUGGUUAUGUUAGUUUUAUUUAUGUUGGCUGGUUUAUGGAAGUUGGUUGAAUGAUUAUCAGAUGGUUUUUAGCAAAGUCAGUUAGCAGAGGUAUGUAUUCUGCUAUGGGAGUCUUAAGUUGGUUGGAAUUUUCGACCGUGAAUGGUCAAUUUCUGAAACCGAAAGCUCCCGUCAUUCACUAUUUAUUAGACAUGAAGAAGCAUUUGAGUGGAAAGUGCAGGGAAGAGCGGAGAAUUAAAUCAAGGGCGUUCUUUCACGUUAUCAACAAUAAUUAUCACACCUAGCACAGUCGCACCAACAACAGUAUAACCAAUUCUUCCACCGGCACCGGGACGCCACCGGUAAUUACACUCAUCUCACUUAUGAUCAUCCAUGGGAGUUUCGUAUGCUUCGGAAACCUGUUUGAAUCGAGUUCGUUGCAUUGUCUUUUACAGCUUUUGGUGAUUGGGAAUGCUUAUCCGGAUGAAAUUAGAAUGCGAGUUUUCUUGGAUACCGAUUUGAUUUCUUCUUUAGAUGUUGUUUUGUGUAAACCUAAAGCCUUAUAAUGAUCCAUCUAUAGAGUGUUUAGAUUUGGAUUUUGUUUUUAGGGUCUGGUAAUUGUAAUUUCACUUUAGUUUGAAAUGUUUUUUUUUUUGAAUGCAUAAAUUGAUUUGAAAUAUGUAUAUAUGAAUGCAUUAGAAAAUGGUUUGGAAUGUUUCUAAUUGA